GACGAACGCUGGCGGCGUGCCUAAUACAUGCAAGUCGAGCGCAGGAAACUGACGGAACUCUUCGGAGGGAAGGCAGUGGAAUGAGCGGCGGACGGGUGAGUAACACGUAAGGAACCUGCCUCAAGGAUUGGGAUAACUCCGAGAAAUCGGAGCUAAUACCGGAUAGUUCAACGGACCGCAUGGUCCGCUGAUGAAAGGCGCUCCGGCGUCACCUUGAGAUGGCCUUGCGGUGCAUUAGCUAGUUGGUGGGGUAACGGCCCACCAAGGCGACGAUGCAUAGCCGACCUGAGAGGGUGAUCGGCCACACUGGGACUGAGACACGGCCCAGACUCCUACGGGAGGCAGCAGUAGGGAAUCUUCCACAAUGGACGAAAGUCUGACGGAGCAACGCCGCGUGAGUGAUGAAGGCUUUCGGAUCGUAAAACUCUGUUGUAAGGGAAGAACACGUACGAGAGGGAAUGCUCGUACCUUGACGGUACCUUACGAGAAAGCCACGGCUAACUACGUGCCAGCCGCCGCCGUAA
Molecule: ribosomal RNA, 524 nt
Filed under: uncultured bacterium
Lineage: Bacteria
Description: partial 16S ribosomal RNA
Rfam family: Bacterial small subunit ribosomal RNA
Source: RNAcentral